AGAUUGAACGCUGGCGGCAUGCCUUACACAUGCAAGUCGAACGGUAACGCGGGGCAACCUGGCGACGAGUGGCGAACGGGUGAGUAAUGCAUCGGAACGUGCCCAGUAGUGGGGGAUAGCCCGGCGAAAGCCGGAUUAAUACCGCAUACGACCUACGGGUGAAAGCGGGGGACUCGCAAGAGCCUCGCGCUAUUGGAGCGGCCGAUGUCAGAUUAGCUAGUUGGUGGGGUAAAAGCCUACCAAGGCGACGAUCUGUAGCUGGUCUGAGAGGACGACCAGCCACACUGGGACUGAGACACGGCCCAGACUCCCUACGGGAGGCAGCAGGUGGGGAAUUUUGGACAGUGGGCGCGAAGCCUGACUCCAGCCAGUCGCGCGUGGCGGGAAGAAGGUCCGUUCGGGUUGUAACCG
RNAcentral lists this ribosomal RNA (411 nucleotides) under uncultured soil bacterium. RNAcentral describes it as "bacterial SSU rRNA". It matches the Rfam family "Bacterial small subunit ribosomal RNA", at positions 26 to 431 of the family's 1533-position model. The record is from RNAcentral.